UUCGCGACGUCCACCUCUUCGCUCUGCUGGUAGAGUUUGCCCACGGCUUCGCUGAUGGCCGGGUGCCACGUGACGGCACGGUUAACGGCUUCGCCAAGCUGUAAUGAACCGGGAGCGGCGUUGCCAGCCACCGGGGCCACGCGGCCGUUGAGUGAGGGGAGUUCCUGCGUUUCGCGAAGCUGUCCGGUAUUGAUGGUUGCCGCCGGAUUUGCGCAGAAAGCGGGCACAGAUAUCAGGCAGCACGAGAGCCACCAGUAAGGCAUCUUCAUUCCCAUGUCAUGUCCCUAAUAAAAAUGUACAGCUUUAUUAUUAAUGCCCGGGCGCUGUGCGCCCGGGUC
RNAcentral lists this small RNA (338 nucleotides) under Enterobacter roggenkampii. RNAcentral describes it as "isrL Hfq binding RNA". The record is from RNAcentral. Lineage: Bacteria; Pseudomonadati; Pseudomonadota; Gammaproteobacteria; Enterobacterales; Enterobacteriaceae.